Long non-coding RNA from Panthera uncia (snow leopard), 3367 nucleotides. RefSeq lists it as uncharacterized. NCBI's taxonomy places the organism in Eukaryota, Metazoa, Chordata, Mammalia, Carnivora, Felidae. The record is from RefSeq and is a predicted model, not a curated record. The transcript is spliced from 11 exons.
UAGAGACCACAUCUUGUUUAUUUAUUCAUCUGUCCGCCGUCACUUGGGUUGCUUCCAUGUUUUCGCUGCUGUGAAGAAGUGGCUAUGAACACAGGAACAGGAAUGAGGGCUCAAGGCUUCGCUUUCAGUUUCUGGGACAGCCUCGAUACACCUACAUCAGCGAUGGAGACGUGUCACGCUUACAACCCAUCGGUAAAGAGUCGAUUAUAUGAAGGUUCACCUCUCCCUUAAUGAAGUUCAUACCAGCGAAGUGAAAUUGAAGUCUGAAGAACAGGAAGUGAGAUCGAAGUCUGAAGAUACAGCCUGUGCAGACAGAAAAUGCUCAGCUUAAGGUACACAAGAAUCAGCUGCGACUGAAAGAACGGGAGCAGGUGAAAGGGGAGAAGCAGCUGUCAGCCACAGAGGAGAAACUGAAAUUAGCUGCAGAAGAGCUGUGGAACUACAAGGCUCAUGAUCAGCAGAGGGCGGUGGCAGAGCAGAGCAGGGAGGUGGCCUACUUGAAGUGCAGGUCAACAUGGCUGCCAGAGCAUUUCCUUCUUUACCAGAAGUGCCCUCCAUGGGGCACUAUCCCAUGGGCUGCCCUUCAUCACCAUUCAUGGGCUUGGGGCCACCCUCACCUUCUCCACCCUGGUGGUCUCUGGGACCUCACCCUCCACCUCCACCUCCACCUCCACCUCCACCUCUCCCUCCACCUCCAGCAUUUGAGACUUUAGCCGAUCCAGAAGCUGGUGUCACUCCCGUGAGUCACAACAACAAGCACUCUACCAAAAUGCCAAGAAGGACCAGGGCAGUGUGGAUCCGUGGGGGUCUCCUCUCUUAACUGGAAGAUUCUGCACACGCUACCCUAAAGGCCACCCUAUGGGCUCCUGGGCACAUCUGCCUCCUGAACCUUGGUGGCUCUGAGGAACACCCUAAACCCCUCCACCUACACCACUUGGUAAAAUGAUCUGAGCGGGUCUUUUGCAGAUCCAGAUUUUGCUCCCGUGAUUGACAACAAAACUGACUCUACCAAAAGGACCAAGAAGGACAAGUUCCACUAUGACAUGUCGUGCAGAAGAUUGAUGCAAGUUACAUCUGAAGGGAAUCCUCUUUGCCUCCUGGAUUUAAAUGUUUGUUUCCUGUCCCAGGUUGGGGAAGUUCUCACCUUGUUUUGUUCAAGUACACCAUCGGCCCCUUUCUCUCUCUUCUUCUUCUGGAUCUCCUGUGGUAAGGAUAUUGUUCCGUUUCAUUGAAUCACUUAGUUCUCUAAAUCUCCCCUUGUGAUCCAGAAUGUUUUCUCUCUUUUCCUCAGCUUCCUCUUUCCCCAUAAUUUUGUCUUCUAACUCACCUAUUCUCCCCUCUGCCUCUUCAAUCCUUGCUGUGACCACCUCUAUUUUAUUUUGCAGCUCAUUUAUAGAAUUUUUUAAUUCAUCAUUACUGUUUUUUAGUUUCUUGAUCUCUGCAGCAAUAGAUUCUCUGCUUUCUUCCAUGCUUUUUUUCAAGCCCAGCGAUUAAUCUUAUGACUAUUAUUCUAAAUUCUUGUGCAAUUAUAUUGUGUAUAUCUUUUUUGAUCAAUUCUUCAGCUGUCAUUUAAUCCUGGAAUUUCUUUUGAGGAGAACUCUCCCAUUUCAUCAUUUUGGCUAGUUUUCUGUUUUAAAAGCUUGUUAGGUGCUCUGCACCUGCAAGCACUUCUAUAUUAAAGAGGGGCCGUGCCCUGUCCAGGGCUUGGCCCUUCCAGAGAUGUUUUUGUGGAGAGUGUUACUUUCUCUCUCUUGUCGUGACCUUGGGUCCUUUAUCUCACAACUCACAGUGAUAUUUUGGACCCUCCACUACGUGUGCUUUAACUUGUUCAUUGAAGUAGCCCUGGAAAGGAAAACAAACAGACAAACAAACAAAAAGGAACCAGAAAACAAAAACACGCAAACACACAAACAUACAAACUAAAAAAACCUAGAACAAAAAAACCAGAAACACCAGCUACAAGUAAACCACAGAGUUGAGGCAGUGCUGAUGGAAGAGGCCUUAUCCCAUGCAAAGAAAGACAUGAAAGGGGCAGGGAAAAGAAAGAGUAAAAAUGGACCAGAGAAACUAUACGGCUUAAUCCAGAGAAAGAGAAAGGAGAAUAAAGAAGGAGGUGGGGAAAAAAAGAAAAAGAAAAUAAAGUUAUCUAGACAGAAAAACUACAUACUGUACAGUUUAAUCCAAAGAGGGAGAGAAAGGAAAGUGAAGAAUGAAGCGGAGAAGAAUGAAGUAAGAUAAAGUCCAGAAAGAGGAACUAUAGGGCUUAAUCCAGAGAGAAAGAAUGGAGAAUAAAGAAGGAGGUGUGGAACAUGUAUCAAGAGAAUGGAUUAAAUAUGUCUCUUAAACAAACCAACAACUAGAGUAACCAGACUAGAGGAGGGAAGAGAUGAGAAGGAGAAAAAGAAGGAAGAAUGUAUCUAUAUAAUUAGAAUUGCCCAAGAAUUAAACCAGGCAAUGUAGCAGCACAGGUCUGGAGGAGGGGAUGUCCACUGUGGGUUCUGCUGUCUGAUCCCUGAGGCCCUAUCUUGGUGGUUGUGGGGAGAAAAAUGGUGAUACUCCCCCAAAGUCUCUCCUCUGCAGACCAUUCUGUUCGAGCUGUCCUCACUGUGCCAUGGAUACAAAUGAGGCAGUCUGUCUCACUCCCCCGACUCCUGUGCCUGGCACUUGGCUGGGAUUCAAACUCUUGCUCCACAGGCCCCAGAACUGGGGAAGUGUCUCUCUGCACCACGUUAUAUGUGGUCCCUUGCUGGCGGGUGCAGGCAGGCUUUGUCCCGUCCCACAGCACUCCUGGGAGGAGAUCGCUUUCUCCUAGUGCAAACUGCACUCCUCACCUAGCCCCUGAGCCCGGGGCUGGCUCCCCUCCUCCCCCGGUUUGUGAUCUGGGCAGCUGGCCUCACUUUGCAGCACACCCUGCAGUUGAGAUUGGAUCUUACUCUGACCUGGUCUGAGGUUUCUCUCUUGUCCAGAUACAGUCCUAUGUUUCCCCAGCCACCCUUUCUCUUCCCUUUGUCUCUCCAAAGAAGCGGAUCUCACCCUCUGUUCAUUUCAUCUCUCCCAGUUCACAAUCAUGUACCUAUGGCCUGUCAGGUUGUCCCGGUGGGUCCCUGGAAUUGCGACUGUCUCUUUUCCUCCCGGACUCUUGGGAUUCAAAGUCCUUUGGCUUCAAUACCUCUUUGUUUUGGAGAAGAGGGAAGUUUAGAUUUCCCUACUUCUCCACGAUGUUGGCUCCUCCCCUCAGGUGUUACCACUUUAAAUGGUUGAAAGGAUGCAGCUCUGAAGCCAUCGGAUCCUGGCCUUUAGUUUGUUGGGAGUUUUUUGAUUACUGGUUGAAUUUGAUUGCUAUUCAUCAUUCUGUUCAAAUUUUCUA